Molecule: long non-coding RNA, 222 nt
Filed under: Elaeis guineensis (African oil palm)
Lineage: Eukaryota; Viridiplantae; Streptophyta; Magnoliopsida; Arecales; Arecaceae
Description: long non-coding RNA (EGUI_LNC033782)
Source: RNAcentral
CUUUCCUAACGAUCACCAUACUAUAGGCUGUGUCAGUUGGUAUUAGAGCCCUUUUAGAUCUAUGAGUGUUAAUUCUUUUCUGCAGUUCAGAUGAUAGGUGGUGGUCAUAAGAAGAACCAACCUACGAAUCAAGCAGCAGCCCAUAAAGAAAUUACGCAACGGGAAUGGGACCUAAUGUUGGAGUGCAAAGAUUUGAGGAGACAAGUGGUGGAUCUGACUGUG